CCUACGGGUGGCAGCAGUGAGGAAUAUUGGUCAAUGGGCGCGAGCCUGAACCAGCCAAGUCGCGUGAGGGAAGACGGCCCUACGGGUUGUAAACCUCUUUUGCCGGGGAGCAACGGGCGCCACGUGUGGCGCCACUGAGAGUACCCGGAGAAAAAGCAUCGGCUAACUCCGUGCCAGCAGCCGCGGUAAUACGGAGGGGGCGAGCGUUGUCCGGAAUUACUGGGCGUAAAGAGAGCGUAGGCGGCACUACAAGUCUCAUGUGAAAUACCCGGGCUUAACUUGGGGGUUGCAUGGGAAACUGUAGAGCUUGAGUACAGGAGAGGCAAGCGGAAUUCCUAGUGUAGCGGUGAAAUGCAUAGAUAUUAGGAGGAACACCAGUGGCGAAGGCGGCUUGCUGGACUGAAACUGACGCUGAGGCUCGAAAGCGUGGGGAGUAAACAGGAUUAGAUACCCUAGUAGUC
This 461-nucleotide ribosomal RNA is filed under the name uncultured bacterium. RNAcentral describes it as "partial 16S ribosomal RNA". It matches the Rfam family "Bacterial small subunit ribosomal RNA", at positions 338 to 795 of the family's 1533-position model. The record is from RNAcentral.